Molecule: non-coding RNA, 103 nt
Organism: Acanthosepion pharaonis
Lineage: Eukaryota; Metazoa; Mollusca; Cephalopoda; Sepiida; Sepiidae
Source: the annotation of a GenBank genome assembly
UUACGGCCAUAUCGCGUUGAAAAAUCGGUCUCCUUACGAUCGCCGAAGUUAAGCAACAUCGAGCCUGGUCAGUACCUGGAUAGGUGACCGCUUGGGAACAGCU